UUUUUACUUUGCAAAAAAAAACAUAUUAAAAUUUUCACUAUUAAAUUUAUUAAAAUUCAAAUCAAACCAAAUUCGAAUCAGACCUAAAAUUAGUCUAACCUUAAACCAAAACCAUAAGUUUCAGCUUUUCAGAUUCCUACCGCAAGUUGCCACGGGUCCCACGUAAAGUGAUCGAGAACACUGCCAAUAAGCUUCUAAAUUCAACUUGCAAGUUGCGACGCUGCAUCAAUAAUUAGACCCAUGAAGUUUUCUUCUGAGCUGCAGUGGUCCUAUUGACAAAAAUUUUAACUUACUCGCAACAUCUAACAGUUAACAAAUUUUAGCCUAAUUGCAAUAUCCAUCUAACACUGGACUGCAAUUUUAGAUUACAAUGCACCUAAAAUAAAGACUACUUCCCAUUCUAAAUACACAUAUGAAUAUUUAGCAAACAAUCUCUAAUGACCAAGAGUCAAAACUUAACCUAAAACAGACUCUUACACAACUUCAAGGGAAAAGCGAGGAAAAGGUAGAGGAAGAGCAUACACCAACGCUAUACAAAACAGACUUGAGGUAGAUUACAAUCCAAAAGGCUGCUAGUGCUGGACAAGCAAACAAUUAAGUUAUGCUUGAGAUUGAGGUUCGCUGCCUCCUCCAUUAUUCCAAUUGUGUCUUUGAUAUAAAUAAUUUGCCAGAAUCAGAGGCAACCUUGGACUUGCGUGUGCACAAAUGAUUCAACCACCCGUCUAUCAAAUGCCCUUUGACUUACAUCAGCGGAGAGCACUGACAAAAGUCAUCAAGGAAUCUACAUCCCUCUUCUCUGAGGGAUACUUAAUCGGCCUAGAGGAGUGUUUGGGAAAGAGAAGUAUUGUAGGAAAGCUUCCCAGCUGUAAUUCUUGCUUGGCAAAUUCUUU
This 890-nucleotide unclassified non-coding RNA is filed under the name Hevea brasiliensis (rubber tree). The record is from RNAcentral. Lineage: Eukaryota; Viridiplantae; Streptophyta; Magnoliopsida; Malpighiales; Euphorbiaceae.